Molecule: non-coding RNA, 24 nt
Filed under: Macaca fascicularis (crab-eating macaque)
Lineage: Eukaryota; Metazoa; Chordata; Mammalia; Primates; Cercopithecidae
Also listed under: 3 other names
Source: RNAcentral
AACUCCCGUGCUGAUCAGUAGUGG